GGCGGUGCAUGCACUGUGCACCCUCCUGGUUAACAGCCCCACGGCCCGAGAGCUGUGCUUUACAUGAAUGUCUUCUGUUAAAGCAGCUCGUGUGGCUUCUGCACCCUGGUGGAGCCAACACACGUGCCUGUCACGGAGGUGAGGAGUGAGUGAGUUCUCACCAGCAUUUGACGCUGACCUUCCGGAGACAUGGCGUCCCUGAGAGCCUGCAGCCUGCCAGAGCAGAGAGCCACCCGCUGGCCGUUCUGUUGGAAUUUCGGAGUUCCUGUCUUUCAGGCAACAUCUGCCAAGCGCGGUUUGUGUAAGGAAACCCAUUCUGUCGUGUCUGCCGGGGCCCAGGGCGGCUGCUGUGCGGGAACCAGCUUUUGUGGCCCAUGGAGCAACGACUCAGUCUGGGGCUCGGCUACUCUCCGGCCCGGGGUACUGGCAUUUCCCUGGGGCCCAUGGGGCGAGUGCCCCUAUUUUUCCCAUGAGGCCUCAGCCAAGAGGAGGUUCGGGAAGAAAGGAAAACACAGAGAAGCAGAGGAACACGUCAUGGAGACGGACCGAGUUGAAGGAGCCAGGGAUGGUGACAAGCGGAAGGAAGUGUGUUUUGUCCCCAUCCAGGGAAGCUUUUGUUUCAUGAGACUUACUUGCGCACGUCUGGUAGCUGCCCUGGACAUUCAUGGACUUUCGUUUUCACUCAGAUUUUGUGGUUCACGUGACACAAAGCAUGAGGACAUCACUGGGCGAGAGGGCCAGGUCACCCCACUGCCGAGGGGCACGCCCCAGCUGUGCACCGCUAGAGUGGGCUUGUCCAGUCCUCGGACACGGGGACAGGGUGUGCCCAUCUCAUGUAAGACAUGAAUAAUAGUAGAAAUUUCUGUUGCAUGAGAACUCUCUGCAUUAUCCUCACCAUUUUCCUGUAAGCGUAAAACGUCUAAAACUUUUUUAUGAGCACACUAA
This 945-nucleotide long non-coding RNA is filed under the name Homo sapiens (human). The record is from RNAcentral. Lineage: Eukaryota; Metazoa; Chordata; Mammalia; Primates; Hominidae.